This 714-nucleotide ribosomal RNA is filed under the name Triticum aestivum (bread wheat). Its description in RNAcentral is "partial small subunit ribosomal RNA". Lineage: Eukaryota; Viridiplantae; Streptophyta; Magnoliopsida; Poales; Poaceae. The record is from RNAcentral.
AUGAGCAGCCGCCCUAGGUCGUCGGCGGCGGCGCCGCUGGAGGACGAAGACCUCCUCUCCGAGAUCCUCCUCCGCCUCCCCCCGCUGCCGUCCUCCCUCCCCCGCGCGUCCCUCGCCUGUAAGCUCUGGCGGCGCAUCGUAUCCGACGCCCGAUUUCUCCGCCGCUUCCACGAGCACCACCGCCGCAACCCUCCCCUCCUCGGUUGCUUCGUCCAAGGUAUCUCCCCACUCCGUUUCGAGCCUACGCUGGAGGCCCCCAAUCGCGUCCCGCAAGCCCGCUUCUCCUUUCCUAUCAACGCCCGCGACGCCUUCAUGAUCCUCGGAUGCCGCCAUGGCCUCAUGCUCAUCUCCCUUUGGAGGCGGAACCAGCUCCUGGUAUGGGAUCCCGUCACGCGUGACCAGCAUCGCCUAGACAUUCCCACAGGGUUCGACAAGGGGGAAACCGUGAUUAACGGAGCGGUGCUUCGUGCUUCCGGAGAGGCCAACCAUUUCCAGGUUGUCUUGGUAGGCAACAGCGACAUACAGCUUAGACAGGCUGUGGCCUCGGUGUACUCGUCGGAGACCGGUGUAUGGGGUGAUCUCACCUCGACACUUCUUCCGGCCAAGGAUCCUACCAGUGAUGUACCUACCAGGAUUUUGGUCAUCUGCUCUGUGAUGGUUGGGAAUUCUUUACUGGUUGCUUACUGGGAAUUGGUUUGGAAUACUUUAAUUUAA